RNAcentral lists this ribosomal RNA (241 nucleotides) under uncultured Gammaproteobacteria bacterium. RNAcentral describes it as "partial 16S ribosomal RNA". It matches the Rfam family "Bacterial small subunit ribosomal RNA", at positions 95 to 339 of the family's 1533-position model. Lineage: Bacteria; Pseudomonadati; Pseudomonadota; Gammaproteobacteria. The record is from RNAcentral.
GCGGCGGACGGGUGAGUAAUGCUUGGGAAUCUGCCCAAUAGUGGGGGAUAACGUGUGGAAACGCACGCUAAUACCGCAUACGUCCUACGGGAGAAAGCAGGGGAUCUUCGGACCUUGCGCUAUUGGAUGAGCCCAAGUCAGAUUAGCUAGUUGGUGAGGUAAUGGCUCACCAAGGCGACGAUCUGUAGCUGGUCUGAGAGGAUGAUCAGCCACACUGGGACUGAGACACGGCCCAGACUCC